UUGUAGCAUAAUGAUACAUUUAUUCACUUAUUUUUGUAGUGAAAUUAUAUAAUGAAAUUAAUUCUCUGGCUCCGUUCCGGCUCUUAACACAGAAGAGGAAGGCGCACGUUUCGAUGUUGAUUCCGGAUUACAAAAUGUAAAGUGUACACCAUAGUUCAUAGUUUUCAUAUCAUAUCAUAUCAUAUCAUCAUAUUUAAAUUGUUCAAUUUCCUCCUGAAAUUUCACUUUAUUCAUGAUGUUUUCUUGUAGCUUCUUACAGAUCAAGUCUCAACUUUAAAAUUAUGUAUUUAAAAUUACCUGUUUCCUUUAAACCUACUUAUUGACGGACAGCCCAUUUCUCUAGAAAUCGUUCUUUUCCCACACCCUUACAAGUAAUCGGGUUUGCAAUUGCCUUCCCAAAAACCCAAUUAUCCUGCUUAUUUUUCGUAUUUGCCAUUUCCUUACAUAUUCGUAGUCAUAUACACAUUCUUCAACUCUAGAAAUCGUUCUUUUUCCACACCCUUACAAGUAAUCGGUUUUGCAAUUGUCUUAAGAUACUUUCGAGUUUGUGGAAAACUUUUUGUCCGUGCCAAGGAGGUGCUACCGUGAAUAUUAGUGGCUAAUUAGAGUACAGCUACGCCCAGGUGGUCUCUCAUCUCGCUUUUUGACUGUUAACAGUCUCCUCCCCCGCUCUCCUAACAUUAGAGUUAAGUAGAAGCUGUUAGUUCUAAUUUAAAACCGAAAGAAAGCAAUAAAUUGAAGUAUUCUUUAGAGUUUUGAAAGUGAUUUUGAAUUUCGGUACGGGAACCAGACGACAGCCACCACCAAGGAAAGCCGCCACUGUCCAUUUCAUGAUCCAUCGACCGGAUAUUUCCAGGAGUUGACAAGAUCCAGCGUUCAGCGGCAAAGUUACCAAGUACUUCAAAAUCCCAGAUAACGCUCAUUUCUGCAGCACAGCAAACAACUGCAAACAUCUUGCCGAACAUUUUUUUCCGAAUUUUCGGUAUUUCUUCGCAUAUCAAGUAGUUGAUGUACUUGAUGCCUAAAUGCAUUAUCGAGGAGACAACUUUAGCAAAGGUGGACCAGGCUAGGCAGGCAUCCGUAUUUCCAGGAUAUUUCCAGGAGUUGACAAGAUCCAGCGUUCAGCGGCAAAGUUACCAAGUACUUCAAAAUCCCAGAUAACGCUCAUUUCUGCAGCACAGCAAACAACUGCAAACAUCUUGCCGAACAUUUUUUUCCGAAUUUUCGGUAUUUCUUCGCAUAUCAAGUAGUUGAUGUACUUGAUGCCUAAAUGCAUUAUCGAGGAGACAACUUUAGCAAAGGUGGACCAGGCUAGGCAGGCAUCCGUAAGGACUACCAAGGGAAUGUUUCGAAGGCCCCUAGCCAAGAUCACUGUGCUGGGCAUGAUGGAUGAAAGAAAGCACCCCAACAAAGAGAGGAGCUUACGGGGAAAGAAUUCUGCCGCGGAAAUUUCGCAAUAAGCCCGAUUGAAGGGUACUGCUUCUCCAAAUAAACUGUAUAUCAGAACCAUUACUUGCGAAGCUUUGGCGUAUGAUAUGCCGCGAUAUGCAGCCAUGCAAAGCGAGCGACUGUUUGCUACUGUUAUUCGGAGAGGACGUUUUGAAAGCCCACCAAAUGAUGAAAAUAAAGUAAAUUACUGAAUCAUUA
Long non-coding RNA from Drosophila biarmipes, 1647 nucleotides. RefSeq lists it as uncharacterized. Lineage: Eukaryota; Metazoa; Arthropoda; Insecta; Diptera; Drosophilidae. The transcript has 3 exons. The record is from RefSeq and is a predicted model, not a curated record.